AGAGCGAACGCUGGCGGCAGGCUUAACACAUGCAAGUCGAGCGGGCGUAGCAAUACGUCAGCGGCAGACGGGUGAGUAACGCGUGGGAACGUACCUUUUGGUUCGGAACAACACAGGGAAACUUGUGCUAAUACCGGAUAAGCCCUUACGGGGAAAGAUUUAUCGCCGAAAGAUCGGCCCGCGUCUGAUUAGCUAGUUGGUGUGGUAACGGCGCACCAAGGCGACGAUCAGUAGCUGGUCUGAGAGGAUGAUCAGCCACAUUGGGACUGAGACACGGCCCAAACUCCUACGGGAGGCAGCAGUGGGGAAUAUUGGACAAUGGGCGCAAGCCUGAUCCAGCCAUGCCGCGUGAGUGAUGAAGGCCCUAGGGUUGUAAAGCUCUUUUGUGCGGGAAGAUAAUGACGGUACCGCAAGAAUAAGCCCGGCUAACUUCGCGCCAGCAGCCGC
RNAcentral lists this ribosomal RNA (447 nucleotides) under uncultured bacterium. RNAcentral's name for it is "SSU rRNA". It matches the Rfam family "Bacterial small subunit ribosomal RNA", at positions 26 to 518 of the family's 1533-position model. The record is from RNAcentral.